ACCCGACUGACUCAGCUGGUAGAACAUGAGACUCUUCAUCUUGAGGUCAUGAGUUCAAGCCCCAUGUUGGGUG
This 73-nucleotide transfer RNA is filed under the name Mustela putorius furo (domestic ferret). It matches the Rfam family "tRNA". From Rfam's summary of the family: Transfer RNA (tRNA) molecules are approximately 80 nucleotides in length. Their secondary structure includes four short double-helical elements and three loops (D, anti-codon, and T loops). The record is from Rfam by way of RNAcentral. Lineage: Eukaryota; Metazoa; Chordata; Mammalia; Carnivora; Mustelidae.